CCUACGGGGGGCAGCAGUGAGGAAUUUUGCGCAAUGGGGGAAACCCUGACGCAGCGACGCCGCGUGCGGGAUGAAGGGGCUUUGCCUCGUAAACCGCUGUCGGAUAGGAAGAAAAACGGUAAGAACCGUCGGGACAGUACUAUCAAAGGAAGCACCGGCUAACUACGUGCCAGCAGCCGCGGUAAUACGUAGGGUGCGAGCGUUGUCCGGAAUUACUGGGUGUAAAGGGUGCGCGGGCGGAUUCGCACGUCGAAGGUUAAAGACCUUGGCUUAAC
Molecule: ribosomal RNA, 275 nt
Filed under: uncultured bacterium
Lineage: Bacteria
Description: partial 16S ribosomal RNA
Rfam family: Bacterial small subunit ribosomal RNA
Source: RNAcentral